GGCUCAGAUUGAACGCUGGCGGCAGGCCUAACACAUGCAAGUCGAAUGGUAACAGGAAACAGCUUGCUGUUUCGCUGACGAGUGGCGGACGGGUGAGUAAUGUCUGGGAAACCGCCUGAUGAGGGGGAUAACUACUGGAAACGGUAGCUGAUACCGCAUAACGUCGCAAGACCAAAGAGGGGGACCUUCGGGCCUCUUGCCAUCAGAUGUGCCCAGAUGGGAUUAGCUAGUAGGUGGGGUAACGGCUCACCUAGGCGACGAUCCCUAGCUGGUCUGAGAGGAUGACCAGCCACACUGGAACUGAGACACGGUCCAGACUCCUACGGGAGGCAGCAGUGGGGAAUAUUGCACAAUGGGCGCAAGCCUGAUGCAGCCAUGCCGCGUGUAUGAAGAAGGCCUUCGGGUUGUAAAGUACUUUCAGCGGGGAGGAAGGGAGUAAAGUUAAUACCUUUGCUCAUUGACGUUACCCGCAGAAGAAGCACCGGCUAACUCCGUG
Molecule: ribosomal RNA, 496 nt
Filed under: uncultured bacterium
Lineage: Bacteria
Description: bacterial SSU rRNA
Rfam family: Bacterial small subunit ribosomal RNA
Source: RNAcentral